GGUCAGGUUUGAGUUGAAGACUGGUGACAAGGUUGAGGCUCCAUGGUUGGUGCACAGAGCAGCUCGAUACCCUGGCCAUGUUGAGCGUGUUGAUGGAGAAUAUGUGCUAAUUGAAUUUAGUGACAUGACAAAGAAAAGAAUUCAUUUCAAGUAUAUUGAGAAGAAAACGUAAGUAAUCAGAUUAUUUCAACUCAUACAAUAUGAAUCCAUUCCCUCAACAUGUUACAUUACAAAGUAACUUGUGUAUUUAUUCAGAGGUUAGUUGUUAUUUUUUUGCGGUAUCCAGGAAUGCUCUUCUGUGCCAAAGUUUGCUUUAUGUACCAUGUAGAGGCGCAAUCGCGCGCCACCGGGGUUUCACCCAACUCAAAGUUGCUAAAUCUAACAAACUGCAGGCUACCAUAGUGUAAGUACUCAAGGCAUUGUUCG
Molecule: long non-coding RNA, 426 nt
Organism: Haliotis rubra (blacklip abalone)
Lineage: Eukaryota; Metazoa; Mollusca; Gastropoda; Lepetellida; Haliotidae
Exons: 3
Source: RefSeq, a predicted model, not a curated record